RNAcentral lists this ribosomal RNA (546 nucleotides) under uncultured bacterium. RNAcentral's name for it is "bacterial SSU rRNA". It matches the Rfam family "Bacterial small subunit ribosomal RNA", at positions 355 to 895 of the family's 1533-position model. The record is from RNAcentral.
UGGGGAAUAUUGCGCAAUGGGGGGAACCCUGACGCAGCCAUGCCGCGUGAAUGAAGAAGGCCUUAGGGUUGUAAAGUUCUUUCGGUAUUGAGGAAGGUUGAUGUGUUAAUAGCACAUCAAAUUGACGUUAAAUACAGAAGAAGCACCGGCUAACUCCGUGCCAGCAGUCGCGGUAAUACGGAGGGUGCGAGCGUUAAUCGGAAUAACUGGGCGUAAAGGGCACGCAGGCGGUUAUUUAAGUGAGGUGUGAAAGCCCCGGGCUUAACCUGGGAAUUGCAUUUCAGACUGGGUAACUAGAGUACUUUAGGGAGGGGUAGAAUUCCACGUGUAGCGGUGAAAUGCGUAGAGAUGUGGAGGAAUACCGAAGGCGAAGGCAGCCCCUUGGGAAUGUACUGACGCUCAUGUGCGAAAGCGUGGGGAGCAAACAGGAUUAGAUACCCUGGUAGUCCACGCUGUAAACGCUGUCGAUUUGGGGGUUGGGGUUUAACUCUGGCGCCCGUAGCUAACGUGAUAAAUCGACCGCCUGGGGAGUACGGCCGCAAGGUU